RNAcentral lists this ribosomal RNA (301 nucleotides) under uncultured bacterium. Its description in RNAcentral is "partial 16S ribosomal RNA". It matches the Rfam family "Bacterial small subunit ribosomal RNA", at positions 509 to 807 of the family's 1533-position model. The record is from RNAcentral.
CAGUCACCACGGUAAUACGUAGGGUGCGAGCGUUAAUCGGAAUUAUUGGGCGUAAAGCGUGCGCAGGCGGUUAUAUAAGACAGAUGUGAAAUCCCCGGGCUCAACCUGGGACCUGCAUUUGUGACUGUAUAGCUAGAGUACGGUAGAGGGGGAUGGAAUUCCGCGUGUAGCAGUGAAAUGCGUAGAUAUGCGGAGGAGCACCGAUGGCGAAGGCAAUCCCCUGGACCUGUACUGACGCUCAUGCACGAAAGCGUGGGGAGCAAACAGGAUUAGAUACCCCCGUAGUCCCUGUCUCUUAUAC